This 1533-nucleotide long non-coding RNA is filed under the name Salmo salar (Atlantic salmon). RNAcentral's name for it is "lncRNA (ENSSSAG00000108747.1, ENSSSAG00020014698.1)". Lineage: Eukaryota; Metazoa; Chordata; Actinopteri; Salmoniformes; Salmonidae. The record is from RNAcentral.
AUAGAAGCUGUUGUGAUUGAGUGUGUGUGUGUGUGUGUGUGUUUGUGUGUGUGUGGAUGAAUGGAUUGAUGCAUUCACAGACACAGCAAUCAGCUUAUUGGGGGUGAACUGGGAGCACAGUGCUGCAGAGGUGGGACAGAGGAGAUGGCAACAGGGAGGGCUUCAUCCUGAGCCCUAUACAACAAAUCAGUUUUGAGGAGUUAGCAAGUCUAAGGGCUGGGAUGCAAGUGAGAUGUUUAACUAGUAGACAUACAGAAUCAAUUCCACCAAUGGCUUCCUCUCCGUGUACAUAGACACCUGCCUCGGAUGAAGGAGACUGAGGGCAACCCCCCAGUAACAUCAUCUUGUCUCACUGAAAAACAAUGGAGGCAAGACUGAGGAGUACAAGUGCAAUACCAUGGUCCAAGAGAGAGAGGCGACAUGAAUGAAAUGUUGUGGAUGGAGCAUUCCAAUUGGUACCUUUCAGGUUGCUCAAACCGUUGGUAUGAUUUCAAGGAGGACAAUCACAUAUAUUUGCGAGAAUAGGAUCACUGGUUCAAGCACAGUGUGGGACAGGGAAGGAAGAUAUACUGUUUUUGCAUUAAUGCUACGCACCUGAUUCAAAUCAUCAAGAUAAGUUGAUCAUUUGAAUUGGCUGUGUAGUGCUACUGCAAAAAGAAAAAUGUGCAACCCUUUGUAUCCCCAGGUCCAGGAUUAAGAAAUGCUGUUCUAUCUAGACUAAUCAAAUUCCCCACCUCACCUCUCCCUGGCUACUGUCUGUAGAUAUGAUCCAAUUCUGUGAAUUCAUUGACUAUACUUCAAUGAAUGUUUGUUACGUGUACCUAUUCGCUUUCUUUGCCGGCAACAAGCAUGUACAGUGUUUCUUUUUCCACAUUUUGUUUUUUUACAGCCUGAAUUUUAAAUGGUUUAAAUUGAGAUUUUUGUUCACUGGCCAAAAUAAUCUAAUGUCCCUCAGUCGAGAAGUGAAUUUCAAACACAGAUUCAACCACAAAGACCAGGGAGAUUUUCCAAUGCCUCACAAAGAAGAUGGGUAAAUAUUUAAAAAAGCAGACAUUGAAUAUCCCUUUGAGCAUGGUGAAGUUAUUAAUUAGACUUUAGAUGGUGUAUCAAUACAGCCGGUCAAUACAAAGAUACAGGUGUCUUUUCUAUCUCAGUUGCCGGAGAGGAAAGAAACUGCUCAGGGAUUUCACCAAGUGGCCAAUGGUGACUUUAAAACAGUUACAGAAUUUAAUGGCUGUGAUUGGAGAAAACUGAGGCUGGAUCAACAACAUUGUAGUUACUCCACAAUACUAACCUAAUUGAGUGAAAAGAAGGAAGCCUGUACAGAAUAAAAAUAUUGCAAAACAUGCAUCCUGUUUACAACAAGGCACUAAAGUAAUACUGCAAACAAAUGUGGCAAAGAAAUUAACUUUUUGUCCUGAUUACAAAUUGUUAUGUUUGGGGCAAAUCCAAUAUAACACAUUACUGAGUACCACUCUCCAUAUUUUCAAGCAUAGUGGUGGCUGCAUCAUGUUAUGGGUAUGUUUGUAAUUG